This 70-nucleotide transfer RNA is filed under the name Mugil curema (white mullet). RNAcentral's name for it is "tRNA-Arg". It matches the Rfam family "tRNA". Rfam says of the family: Transfer RNA (tRNA) molecules are approximately 80 nucleotides in length. Their secondary structure includes four short double-helical elements and three loops (D, anti-codon, and T loops). Lineage: Eukaryota; Metazoa; Chordata; Actinopteri; Mugiliformes; Mugilidae. The record is from RNAcentral.
AAGCAGUUAGUUUAAAUUAAAACCUUUGAUUUCGGCUCAAAAACUUGUGGUUAAACUCCAUAACUGCUUG